AGGGUUUGAUCAUGGCUCAGAACGUACGCUGGCGGCACGCCUAACACAUGCAAGUCGAGCGGGGUAGCAAUACCUAGCGGCAGACGGGUGCGUAACAUGUGGGAAUCUGCCUUUUGGUUCGGAAUAACACGGGGAAACCUGUGCUAAUACCGGAUAAGUCCUUACGGAGAAAGUUUUAAUGCCAAAAGAUGAGCCCGCAUUUGAUUAGUUAGUUGGUAGGGUAAUGGCCUACCAAGACUGUGAUCAAUAGCUGAUUUGAGAGGAUGAUCAGCCACAUUGGGACUGAGACACGGCCCAAACUCCUACGGGAGGCAGCAGUGGGGAAUCUUGCACAAUGGAGGAAACUCUGAUGCAGCGAUGCCGCGUGAGUGAAGAAGGCCCUUGGGUUGUAAAGCUCUUUCGUCGGGGAAGAAAAUGACUGUACCCGAAUAAGAAGGUCCGGCUAACUUCGUGCCAGCAGCCGCGGUAAUACGAAGGGACCUAGCGUAGUUCGGAAUUACUGGGCUUAAAGAGUUCGUAGGUGGUUGAAAAAGUUGGUGGUGAAAUCCCAGAGCUUAACUCUGGAACUGCCAUCAAAACUUUUCAGCUAGAGUAUGAUAGAGGAAAGCAGAAUUUCUAGUGUAGAGGUGAAAUUCGUAGAUAUUAGAAAGAAUACCAAUUGCGAAGGCAGCUUUCUGGAUCAUUACUGACACUGAGGAACGAAAGCAUGGGUAGCGAAGAGGAUUAGAUACCCUCGUAGUCCAUGCCGUAAACGAUGUGUGUUAGACGUUGGAAAUUUAUUUUCAGUGUCGCAGCGAAAGCGAUAAACACACCGCCUGGGGAGUACGACCGCAAGGUUAAAACUCAAAUGAAUUGACGGGGACCCGCACAAGUAGUGGAGCAUGUGGUUUAAUUCGAAGAUACGCGCAGAACCUUACCAACACUUGACAUGUUCGUCGCGACUCUAAGAGAUUAGAGUUUUCGGUUCGGCCGGACGAAACACAGGUGCUGCAUGGCUGUCGUCAGCUCGUGUCGUGAGAUGUUGGGUUAAGUCCCGCAACGAGCGCAACCCUCACUUUUAGUUGCCAUCAUUAAGUUGGGCACUCUGAAAGAACUGCCAGUGAUAAGCUGGAGGAAGGUGGGGAUGACGUCAAGUCCUCAUGGCCCUUACGUGUUGGGCUACACACGUGCUACAAUGGUAUCUACAACAGGAAGCAAAACUGCGAAGUUAAGCAAAUCCCUAAAAGAUACCUCAGUUCGGAUUGCACUCUGCAACUCGAGUGCAUGAAGCUGGAAUUACUAGUAAUCGUGGAUCAGCGUGCCACGGUGAAUGCGUUCCCGGGUCUUGUACACACCGCCCGUCACACCAUGGGAGUUGGUUCUACCUUAAGGCAAGGUUUCAAACCCUUGACCACGGUAUAGUCAGCGACUGGGGUGAAGUCAUAACAAGGUAGCCGUA
This 1438-nucleotide ribosomal RNA is filed under the name uncultured bacterium. RNAcentral's name for it is "16S ribosomal RNA". It matches the Rfam family "Bacterial small subunit ribosomal RNA". The record is from RNAcentral.